ACUUCAUAUAGGGAGGGCAGUGUUAAAGGGCUCAUGUCAGAGUUACAGCCUAACUUCUCAAAGGCCAGUCUGUCUGGGAGACUCCAGCUAUUUCUGAAUAUCCCUGGAAGUAAUUAAGUGACACCAGGAAAAUCCAAGGAGCUAGAGCAGUCUAUUGGGGCCAUCCAGGCGUGGUCUUCUAAUCUGGGCUUGGAUACAUCACCUAGAAACAAUGCAUAAUUCCUAUCUACCCUGCUCUUCUGUGGAUGUAGGUUUCUGUGCACACCUUAUUACAAGCAAUUCAUAAACGCAGAUCCAUAAACGCUGUUCCUCGGCUGUAGUCAGGAAGCACUGAACUGGUUGGUUGGCUGAAAAACCCCUCUCUUCCCUUCUGAAACUUUCCACUGGACCCUGUCUUUUGCUGCAGUGACACCUACUGAUGAGGACAGAGGCUUCCACUCUCUGGAUCAGCAGAGUGACUGUCCAGCACAAACCUCCCUUUGGUAAUAGGGCUGAGUACGAGGGAGGUGUCCCCAAAGAAGUUACCAGCUAAACUGCUUUAGUGGUCUCCAGUCCCUAAAACUCAUCUCAUCCCUGUGCCACAGACUCCUCUGCUGCCCCCCACACUGAGUCUGCUCUCUAGGUGACCUUGUCCAACUGAAGGGCAGAGCCAUCUAGCAGGGAACUAGCAGCCAGUGAACAAGGACCUCU
This 690-nucleotide long non-coding RNA is filed under the name Struthio camelus australis. Its description in RNAcentral is "lncRNA (ENSSCUG00000004942.1)". The record is from RNAcentral. Lineage: Eukaryota; Metazoa; Chordata; Aves; Struthioniformes; Struthionidae.